AGAGACUGAAUGUCAAAAUUGUAUGCUCAGAGCACUUAAACGAUUGGAAAUCUGGGAUCCCACUACGACAUUAAAAAUGGCAGCUAAUGUCUGUGGCAACCCGGGUGUUUAGGAGCGGGCUAAAGCUAGAGUUCUCUUGCUCUUUGAUUACGGGCACCACUUUCAGAUAAAAACAUAGACCUGAAUGGCAUCAUCCAGUAUCCAAGGAAACCAUGUAUUCAGGUAGUCGCUCCUUCCUCUGCCUGAUUUGAGACCACGUUACCUACAGCUGCACGGGACUGCAGAGCUCACUGUUGCCCUUCGAAUGUUAUGCCUGUCUAUCUCACUGACCCUUGGGUUGGGUGACAGCCUUGGAUGGGGCCCGCUCUGUAUUUAUGAUCCCAAAUAUCAAGCCACACAGUAGCCUAGAAGCAAGAACGUGGAGAUACUUCUGAUGAGGUCUGGAGAUACCCUGGUGGGCUUUCUCUAGUUGCAGCGAGUGGGGGGCCACUCUUCGUUGCGCCAUGUGGGAUCUUAGCUGCCCGACCAGAUAUCGAACCAGCACCCUGUGCAUUGGAAGGUGAAGUCUUAAUCACUGGACCGCCAGGGAAGUCCCUUCUCUCUCUUUUUAAAUUUCACUGGCAUGCAUGCAGUAAUUGAGUUUUAUAGAAACAGUUUAAAAUUAUAAUACUUAUAGUAAGAU
Long non-coding RNA from Physeter macrocephalus (sperm whale), 682 nucleotides. RefSeq lists it as uncharacterized. The record is from RefSeq and is a predicted model, not a curated record. The transcript has 5 exons. NCBI's taxonomy places the organism in Eukaryota, Metazoa, Chordata, Mammalia, Artiodactyla, Physeteridae.